CCUACGGGAGGCAGCAGUGAGGAAUAUUGGUCAAUGGAGGCAACUCUGAACCAGUCAAGUAGCGUGCAGGAUGACUGCCCUAUGGGUUGUAAACUGCUUUUAUGAAGGGAUAAACUGAGUCACGUGUGGCUUAUUGCAGGUACUGCAUGAAUAAGGACCGGCUAAUUCCGUGCCAGCAGCCGCGGUAAUACGGAAGGUCCGGGCGUUAUCCGGAUUUAUUGGGUUUAAAGGGAGCGCAGGCCGCCCCUUAAGCGUGUUGUGAAAUGUCGCGGCUCAACCGUAGCAUUGCAGCGCGUACUGGGAGGCUUGAGUACGGCUGAGGUAGGCGGAAUUCGUGGUGUAGCGGUGAAAUGCUUAGAUAUCACGAAGAACUCCGAUUGCGAAGGCAGCCUACCAUAGCGUUACUGACACUGAGGCUCGAAGGUGCGGGUAUCGAACAGGAUUAGAUACCCGGGUAGUC
Molecule: ribosomal RNA, 460 nt
Filed under: uncultured bacterium
Lineage: Bacteria
Description: partial 16S ribosomal RNA
Rfam family: Bacterial small subunit ribosomal RNA
Source: RNAcentral